Molecule: ribosomal RNA, 525 nt
Filed under: Deferunda lua
Lineage: Eukaryota; Metazoa; Arthropoda; Insecta; Hemiptera; Achilidae
Description: partial 16S ribosomal RNA
Rfam family: Bacterial large subunit ribosomal RNA (bases 391-525)
Source: RNAcentral
UAAACAUGUUCUUUUAUUAUUUUUUUAAGAUUGGCCCUGCUCAAUGAAAAAUUUAAAUAGCCGCGGUAAUUUAACUGUGCUAAGGUAGCAUAAUAAUUAGUCUUUUAAUUGAGGUCUGGAAUGAAUGGGUUGACAAGGAAAUAACUUUAUUUUAUUGAUUUUUUUGAAUUUAAUUUUUUCGUCAAAAAGCUUAAAUAUUUAAAUGGGACGAUAAGACCCUAUAGAUCUUUAUUUUUUUUUUUUUUAGAUAUUUUAUUUAAUUUAUUUUUUAAUUAAAAUAAAAAAUUUAGUUGGGGUGAUUAUUAAAAUUUUUAACUUUAUUAUUUUUUUACUUUUAUUUUUGUGUUUGUUGAUCCUUUAUUAUGGAUUAUAAGAUUAAGGUACCUUAGGGAUAACAGCGUUAUAUAUUUGGAGAGUUCUAAUCGAUAAGUAUGUUUGCGACCUCGAUGUUGGAUUAAAAUUAAUUGUGGGGUAGGUUUUACAAUGUUAGGUCUGUUCAACCUUUAAAAUUUUACAUGAUCGAUU